CAGUGCUCUGAAUCAUUUUGAUCAAAAGCAUGGUUUAAAUCCACAUCAUAUGCUUCCAUAACACCUACUUUACACUUAUUAGCUGUUUCUAAGCUUCUUCUAAAUGAAAUGGGGGCAACCAUAGUUUCUGACCAUGUCUUCCAGAAAUAGAUUCCUCAAAGAAAAAGAAAUAAUCCCAGAGGCCAAAAUUCUUUUUCAUGUUUUCUAUAUUACAGAAUCAAAAAGACCAUUGCUUUGGUGCAACACUCCCAUGUAAUCACUAGAUGCCAAUAGCCUGUGAGGUGUCUUACAUCGCCCUAACAUCCUGGGACAUGGUUGGUGGGCUCAAAGAACCAAUGGGAAGGAGAAUGGAGGAAAUGAUGGACAGGAACACUUCCCAAAAUGAGCCAAAUAAGACCCUAAAAGGACCAAAGGGAAAGUGGAUUGAAAAAUGAACCAAUCAUGGUGAACCAGAGGCUAUAAGAACUCUUGUGGGGUUUUGCCCCACAUCCCCCUCUCAUUACCUUUGCGUACGGGGAGCACCCAGCCUCUCGAGAGUGCUGAACCUUUCUGCUUUGUCACUGGGGUCCUGAGCCUAUCCUGGGUCCCCGCUUCCAGUUGUCAUUUGUGUUCUGUUUAAUAAAUCAGUUAAACCUG
Molecule: long non-coding RNA, 636 nt
Organism: Corvus hawaiiensis (hawaiian crow)
Lineage: Eukaryota; Metazoa; Chordata; Aves; Passeriformes; Corvidae
Exons: 3
Source: RefSeq, a predicted model, not a curated record